UACGGAGGGUGCAAGCGUUAUCCGGAUUCACUGGGCGUAAAGGGCGCGUAGGUGGGCAGGUAAGUCAGUGGUGAAAUCUCCGGGCUUAACUCGGAAACUGCCAUUGAUACUAUCUGUCUUGAAUACCGUGGAGGUCAGCGGAAUAUGUCAUGUAGCGGUGAAAUGCUUAGAUAUGACAUAGAACACCAAUUGCGAAGGCAGCUGGCUAGACGAAUAUUGACACUGAUGCACGAAAGCGUGGGGAUCAAACAGG
This 253-nucleotide ribosomal RNA is filed under the name uncultured bacterium. Its description in RNAcentral is "partial 16S ribosomal RNA". It matches the Rfam family "Bacterial small subunit ribosomal RNA", at positions 524 to 776 of the family's 1533-position model. The record is from RNAcentral.